CCCCUAGAUGUUCUGGGCCGCACGCGCGCUACACUGAACAGUUCAACAAGUCUUAACCUUGGCCGAUAGGUCUGGGUAAUCUUUGAACGCUGUUCGUGAUUGGGAUAGACCUUUGCAAUUAUGGGUCUUCAACGAGGAAUUCCUAGUAAACGCAAGUCAUCAGCUUGCAUUGAUUACGUCCCUGCCCUUUGUACACACCGCCCGUCGCACCUACCGAUUGAAUGGUCCGGUGAAAUCUCGGGACGGCGGCUUGGUCGCUUGCGUCCGACUGCUGAAACUUGAUUAAACCAUAUCAUUUAGAGGAAGGUGGANUCGUAACA
Molecule: ribosomal RNA, 320 nt
Filed under: uncultured eukaryote
Lineage: Eukaryota
Description: partial 18S ribosomal RNA
Rfam family: Eukaryotic small subunit ribosomal RNA
Source: RNAcentral